RNAcentral lists this ribosomal RNA (499 nucleotides) under uncultured bacterium. RNAcentral describes it as "bacterial SSU rRNA". It matches the Rfam family "Bacterial small subunit ribosomal RNA", at positions 414 to 905 of the family's 1533-position model. The record is from RNAcentral.
UCCCUCGGGAUGUAAACUUCGCAAGAACGGGAAGAAUAAGUAGGGGACAAUACCCCCUAUGAUGACGGUACCGUUUGUAAGCUCCGGCUAACUCCGUGCCAGCAGCCGCGGUAAUACGGGGGGAGCAAGCGUUGUUCGGAUUUACUGGGCGUAAAGGGCGCGUAGGCGGCCAGCACAAGUCAGUUGUGAAAUCUCCGAGCUUAACUCGGAAAGGUCAACUGAUACUGUGCGGCUAGAGUGCGGAAGGGGCAACUGGAAUUCUUGGUGUAGCGGUGAAAUGCGUAGAUAUCAAGAGGAACACCUGCGGCGAAGGCGGGUUGCUGGGCCGACACUGACGCUGAGGCGCGAAAGCUAGGGGAGCGAACGGGAUUAGAUACCCCGGUAGUCCUAGCCUUAAACGAUGAAUGCUUGGUGUCUGGGGUUAUAUAGUCCCCGGGUGCCGUCGCUAACGCUUUAAGCAUUCCGCCUGGGGAGUACGGUCGCAAGACUGAAACUCAAA